Molecule: ribosomal RNA, 377 nt
Filed under: uncultured organism
Description: partial 16S ribosomal RNA
Rfam family: Bacterial small subunit ribosomal RNA
Source: RNAcentral
CGGGGGGGGGGGCAAGCGUUGUUCGGAAUUACUGGGCGUAAAGGGCGCGUAGGCGGACGGGACAGUCUUUCGUGAAAUCCCACGGGCUCAACCGUGGAACUGCGGGAGAUACUUCUCGUCUUGAGUUCGGGAGAGGAGUGUGGAAUUCCCAGUGUAGCGGUGAAAUGCGUAGAUAUUGGGAGGAACACCGGUGGCGAAGGCGGCACUCUGGACCGAUACUGACGCUGAGGCGCGAAAGCUAGGGGAGCAAACGGGAUUAGAUACCCCGGUAGUCCUGGCUGUAAACGCUGAGCACUUGGUGUAGCGGGUAUCGACCCCUGCUGUGCCGAAGCUAACGCAUUAAGUGCUCCGCCUGGGGAGUACGGUCGCAAAGGCUG